AGAAAAUUAGUUAAAUUUAUAACAUAAACAUGUCAAAUUUAAAUUACUAAUAUUUUAGUAUUUUCUG
RNAcentral lists this transfer RNA (67 nucleotides) under Gryposmylus pennyi. RNAcentral describes it as "tRNA-Asp". The record is from RNAcentral. Lineage: Eukaryota; Metazoa; Arthropoda; Insecta; Neuroptera; Osmylidae.